AGGCCCUCCGAGUCCCCUCCUCCCCCCGCAACAGCACAGCACAUCACGUCAGACGCGCUCCUUUCUUGGGCCUCCGUAGGGCUUCAGCUGUGCUGGGCCGGAAGCCUGAAGUGAUGGGUCUCGAACAUGCGUCUCGGAGCCCGGCGCAGACCCUGCUUUGCCACAGCUACACAAGAUGGACACGCUCUCUGCCUCCAACCCAGCCUUUGAGCCAACAGUACAUCUUCCAAGCUGCCUGGAUGUGGAUGACUCAGGUCUGAAAAGGAUGCUCCCCUCUUGUCCUCAAGACUGAGCAACACUAAGCCUUGUCGUGCACGGGUGAGCAAUGACCACCACCACCCAGCAGCAACCUGGACUCUGCAAAUGGGGAAGUGCAAGCCCGCUUUACAUAUCUUCAAAUGUAGAAACGACACACACGCAGAGCCAGUAAAACACAAGGUGGAGACAUGGAGACAAGAGAGGUGAAGCAAGGCUGCACAGGAAGGGAUGAAAGCACAAGGACCCAUCCAGUGACAGUGGAGCCCAGGGCUUCUGCUGCUCACUGCCUGUCUUGUCUAGUGCUGCAGGCACACUGACUCAUGCCCCCAUACAGAGUUACAGGCCGCCCCACCACCGGCUCCUGUACAGUGAGCCUCAAACAAGGUGCAGAGGAGGAGGGAGCUUUACUUUGAAGUUGGCACAGAGCUAGUCUGAUAAGUAUGUACACAUUUUGUAUAUAGUCUGUCUGGGUGCGUGCUACUUUUCAUAAUUAAAAUGCAUAUUAAGGGGUGCCUGGGUGGCUCAGUGGUUGAGCAUCUGCCUUUGGCUCAGGGCAUGAUCCCGGGGUCCUGGGAUCGAGUCCUGAAUCACACUUCC
Molecule: long non-coding RNA, 855 nt
Organism: Canis lupus familiaris (dog)
Lineage: Eukaryota; Metazoa; Chordata; Mammalia; Carnivora; Canidae
Exons: 3
Source: RefSeq, a predicted model, not a curated record